RNAcentral lists this ribosomal RNA (519 nucleotides) under uncultured Glomus. RNAcentral describes it as "SSU rRNA". It matches the Rfam family "Eukaryotic small subunit ribosomal RNA", at positions 572 to 1092 of the family's 1831-position model. Lineage: Eukaryota; Fungi; Glomeromycota; Glomeromycetes; Glomerales; Glomeraceae. The record is from RNAcentral.
AGCCGCGGUAAUUCCAGCUCCAAUAGCGUAUAUUAAAGUUGUUGCAGUUAAAAAGCUCGUAGUUGAAUUUCGGGAUCAAUUUGCUGGUCGUGCCUUCGGUACGCACUGGUAUUAUUGGUUUCUCCUUUCUGAUGAAUCGCGAUGUCAUUAAUUUGGUGUCGUGGGGAAUCAGGACCGUUACUUUGAAAUAAUUAGAGUGUUUAAAGCAGGCUCACGCUUGAAUACAUUAGCAUGGAAUAAUGAAAUAGGACGUUUGAUUCUAUUUUGUUGGUUUCUAGGAUCGACGUAAUGAUUAAUAGGGAUAGUUGGGGGCAUUAGUAUUCAAUUGUCAGAGGUGAAAUUCUUGGAUUUAUUGAAGACUAACUACUGCGAAAGCAUUUGCCAAGGAUGUUUUCAUUAAUCAAGAACGAAAGUUAGGGGAUCGAAGACGAUCAGAUACCGUCGUAGUCUUAACCAUAAACUAUGCCGACUAGGGAUCGGAUGAUGUUAAUUUUUUAAUGACUCAUUCGGCGCCUUACG